Molecule: ribosomal RNA, 515 nt
Filed under: uncultured bacterium
Lineage: Bacteria
Description: partial 16S ribosomal RNA
Rfam family: Bacterial small subunit ribosomal RNA
Source: RNAcentral
GAUGAACGCUGGCGGCGUGCCUAAUACAUGCAAGUCGAGCGAAUGGAUUAAGAGCUUGCUCUUAUGAAGUUAGCGGCGGACGGGUGAGUAACACGUGGGUAACCUGCCCAUAAGACUGGGAUAACUCCGGGAAACCGGGGCUAAUACCGGAUAACAUUUUGAACCGCAUGGUUCGAAAUUGAAAGGCGGCUUCGGCUGUCACUUAUGGAUGGACCCGCGUCGCAUUAGCUAGUUGGUGAGGUAACAGCUCACCAAGGCAACGAUGCGUAGCCGACCUGAGAGGGUGAUCGGCCACACUGGGCCUGAGACACGGCCCAGACGCCUACGGGAGGCAGCAGUAGGGAAUCUUCCGCAAUGGACGAAAGUCUGACGGAGCAACGCCGCGUGAGUGAUGAAGGCUUUCGGGUCGUAAAACUCUGUUGUUAGGGAAGAACAAGUGCUAGUUGAAUAAGCCGGCACCUUGACGGUACCUAACCAGAAAGCCACGGCUAACUACGUGCCAGCCGCCGCAGUAA